CAGCCGCCGCGGGAAUACGGAGGGGGCUAGCGUUGUUCGGAAUUACUGGGCGUAAAGCGCGCGUAGGCGGUUACUCAAGUCAGAGGUGAAAGCCCGGGGCUCAACCCCGGAACUGCCUUUGAAACUAGGUGACUAGAAUCUUGGAGAGGUCAGUGGAAUUCCGAGUGUAGAGGUGAAAUUCGUAGAUAUUCGGAAGAACACCAGUGGCGAAGGCGACUGACUGGACAAGUAUUGACGCUGAGGUGCGAAAGCGUGGGGAGCAAACAGGAUUAGAUACCCGGGUAGUCCCUGUCUCUUUACA
Molecule: ribosomal RNA, 301 nt
Filed under: uncultured bacterium
Lineage: Bacteria
Description: partial 16S ribosomal RNA
Rfam family: Bacterial small subunit ribosomal RNA
Source: RNAcentral